Transfer RNA from Camelus ferus (Wild Bactrian camel), 73 nucleotides. It matches the Rfam family "tRNA". From Rfam's summary of the family: Transfer RNA (tRNA) molecules are approximately 80 nucleotides in length. Their secondary structure includes four short double-helical elements and three loops (D, anti-codon, and T loops). Further hydrogen bonds mediate the characteristic L-shaped molecular structure. tRNAs have two regions of fundamental functional importance: the anti-codon, which is responsible for specific mRNA codon recognition, and the 3' end, to which the tRNAs corresponding amino acid is attached (by aminoacyl-tRNA synthetases). tRNAs cope with the degeneracy of the genetic code in two manners: having more than one tRNA (with a specific anti-codon) for a particular amino acid; and 'wobble' base-pairing, i.e. permitting non-standard base-pairing at the 3rd anti-codon position. The record is from Rfam. Lineage: Eukaryota; Metazoa; Chordata; Mammalia; Artiodactyla; Camelidae.
GAGGGUAUAGCUCAAGUGGUAGAGUGUAUGCUUAGUAUGCACAAGGUCCUGGGUUCAAUCCCCAGUACCUCCU